AAUGGGCGCAAGCCUGAUCCAGCCAUUCCGCGUGCAGGAUGAAGGCCUUCGGGUUGUAAACUGCUUUUGUACGGAACGAAACGGUCUGCCCUAAUACGGCGGGCUAAUGACGGUACCGUAAGAAUAAGCACCGGCUAACUACGUGCCAGCAGCCGCGGUAAUACGUAGGGUGCAAGCGUUAAUCGGAAUUACUGGGCGUAAAGCGUGCGCAGGCGGUUAUAUAAGACAGAUGUGAAAUCCCCGGGCUCAACCUGGGAACUGCAUUUGUGACUGUAUGGCUAGAGUACGGCAGAGGGGGAUGGAAUUCCGCGUGUAGCAGUGAAAUGCGUAGAUAUGCGGAGGAACACCGAUGGCGAAGGCAAUCCCCUGGGCCUGUACUGACGCUCAUGCACGAAAGCGUGGGGAGCAAA
RNAcentral lists this ribosomal RNA (410 nucleotides) under uncultured bacterium. Its description in RNAcentral is "bacterial SSU rRNA". It matches the Rfam family "Bacterial small subunit ribosomal RNA", at positions 370 to 772 of the family's 1533-position model. The record is from RNAcentral.